This is an unclassified non-coding RNA of Colobus angolensis palliatus, 299 nucleotides long. It matches the Rfam family "Metazoan signal recognition particle RNA". Rfam says of the family: The signal recognition particle (SRP) is a universally conserved ribonucleoprotein. Lineage: Eukaryota; Metazoa; Chordata; Mammalia; Primates; Cercopithecidae. The record is from Ensembl.
ACUGAGUUUGGUGGUGUGCACCUAUAGUCCCAGCUACUCAGGAGGCUGAAUCAGGAGGGGUGCUUGAGCCUAGGUGUUCUGGGCUAUAGUGAGCUAUGUCUAGCUGGUGUCUGCAUUAAGUAUGGCAUCAAUAUGGCGACCUCCCAGGAUCAAGGGACCACCAGAUUGUCUAAGGAGGGGUGAACCAGUCCAGGUUGGAAAUGGAGCAGGUCAAAAUUCCCAUGCUGAGCAGUCAUGCAAUCACACCUGUGAAUAGCCACUGCACUCCAACCUGGGCAACACAGUGGGAGCCCAUCUUU